RNAcentral lists this ribosomal RNA (484 nucleotides) under uncultured organism. RNAcentral's name for it is "bacterial SSU rRNA". It matches the Rfam family "Bacterial small subunit ribosomal RNA", at positions 30 to 507 of the family's 1533-position model. The record is from RNAcentral.
AUUGAACGCUGGCGGUAUGCCUUACACAUGCAAGUCGAACGGCAGCACGGGAGCAAUCCUGGUGGCGAGUGGCGAACGGGUGAGUAAUACAUCGGAACGUGCCCAGUAGUGGGGGAUAGCCCGGCGAAAGCCGGAUUAAUACCGCAUACGAUCUAUGGGUGAAAGCGGGGGAUCGCAAGACCUCGCGCUAUUGGAGCGGCCGAUGUCAGAUUAGGUUGUUGGUGGGGUAAAGGCCUACCAAGCCGUCGAUCUGUAGCUGGUCUGAGAGGACGACCAGCCACACUGGGACUGAGACACGGCCCAGACUCCUACGGGAGGCAGCAGUGGGGAAUUUUGGACAAUGGGCGCAAGCCUGAUCCAGCCAUACCGCGUGCGGGAAGAAGGCCUUCGGGUUGUAAACCGCUUUUGUCAGGGAAGAAACGCUCUGGGCUAAUACCUCGGAGUAAUGACGGUACCUGAAGAAUAAGCACCGGCUAACUACGUG